CCCCUCAGCUGGAGGAAUAGGAAAAAGUUCAUUAGGAACAAUAUGCAUUUUACAGAGGAUCUGUACUGCAAUAUGAAAUACUUCGUAUUAGUAUUAUGGCAAACAGAUAGAAUCAGAGACCAUCCAAUGUCCUGCUCUGUGGGAGGAACACCAGAAGGACAAGAAUCUCCUUGCUGCAGACUGUAUGACAACUACUGA
This 198-nucleotide long non-coding RNA is filed under the name Anser brachyrhynchus (Pink-footed goose). Its description in RNAcentral is "lncRNA (ENSABRG00000001031.1)". The record is from RNAcentral. Lineage: Eukaryota; Metazoa; Chordata; Aves; Anseriformes; Anatidae.